GAUGAACGCUAGCGGCAGGCCUAACACAUGCAAGUCGAGGGGUAGUGGUUGCUUGCAACCAUGAGACCGGCGCACGGGUGCGUAACGCGUAUGCAACCUACCUUGUACAGGGGGAUAGCC
Molecule: ribosomal RNA, 120 nt
Filed under: uncultured bacterium
Lineage: Bacteria
Description: partial 16S ribosomal RNA
Rfam family: Bacterial small subunit ribosomal RNA
Source: RNAcentral